GAGAGGAUUCUUUGAAAGAAAACUUGACCGAUAAUCAAGUUAAGUAGGUUUGAUUCCUUCUCCUCUUU
This 68-nucleotide transfer RNA is filed under the name Euapta godeffroyi. RNAcentral's name for it is "tRNA-Ile". It matches the Rfam family "tRNA". From Rfam's summary of the family: Transfer RNA (tRNA) molecules are approximately 80 nucleotides in length. Their secondary structure includes four short double-helical elements and three loops (D, anti-codon, and T loops). Lineage: Eukaryota; Metazoa; Echinodermata; Holothuroidea; Apodida; Synaptidae. The record is from RNAcentral.